GAAAUGCGAUAAUUAAUGUGAAUUGCAGAAUUCAGUGAAUCAUCGAGUCUUUGAACGCACAUUGCGCCCCCUGGUAUUCCGGGGGGCAUGCCUGUCCGAGCGUCAUUGCUGCCCUCAAGCACGGCUUGUGUGUUGGGCUUCCGUCCCUGGCAACGGGGACGGGCCCAAAAGGCAGUGGCGGCACCAUGUCUGGUCCUCGAGCGUAUGGGGCUUUGUCACCCGCUCCCGUAGGUCCAGCUGGCAGCUAGCCUCGCAACCAAUCUUUUUAACCAGGUUGACCUCGGAUCAGGUAGGGAUACCCGCUGAAAUUAAGC
This 314-nucleotide unclassified non-coding RNA is filed under the name plant metagenome. RNAcentral's name for it is "partial contains 5.8S ribosomal RNA, internal transcribed spacer 2, and large subunit ribosomal RNA". The stretch from base 1 to 105 matches the Rfam family "5.8S ribosomal RNA", at positions 50 to 154 of the family's 154-position model. The record is from RNAcentral.